RNAcentral lists this ribosomal RNA (497 nucleotides) under uncultured bacterium. RNAcentral describes it as "partial 16S ribosomal RNA". It matches the Rfam family "Bacterial small subunit ribosomal RNA", at positions 28 to 507 of the family's 1533-position model. The record is from RNAcentral.
GAUGAACGCUGGCGGCGUGCCUAAUACAUGCAAGUCGAGCGGACAGACCCGGCGCUUGCUCCUCUGACGUUAGCGGCGGACGGGUGUGUAACACGUGGAUCCCGCACCUAUCUGACUGGGAUCAUUUCGGGAAUCCGGCUCUAAUACCGUAUAAUCUAUUGAACCGCGUGGUUCGUUAGUGAGAGUCGGCUGUUCUGUAUCUACUCGCUGCAUCUGAGCCGCAUUGGCUGGUUGGUGGGGUCACGGCUUACCAAGGCAAGGAUGCGUAACCGAGCUGAGAGGGGGGUCGGCCACACUGGAACUGGGACAGGGUCCAGAGUCCUACGGGAGGCAGCAGAAGGGAAUCGGCGGCAAUGGGCGAAAGCCUUACGGAGCAACGCGGCGUGAGUGACGAAGGUCUUCGGAGCGUAAAACCCUGUUAUGAGGGAAGAACAAAUGUGUAAGGAACUAUGGACGGCGUGACGGUACCUAAUCAGAAAGCCACGGCUAACUACGUG